Long non-coding RNA from Oreochromis aureus, 715 nucleotides. RefSeq lists it as uncharacterized. The record is from RefSeq and is a predicted model, not a curated record. NCBI's taxonomy places the organism in Eukaryota, Metazoa, Chordata, Actinopteri, Cichliformes, Cichlidae. The transcript is spliced from 4 exons.
GGCCAAGAGGCCCACAUUUCUGGAAUUUAUGAGUCUAACAUGACGCAAGUGGUCAACAAAUACUAAAAGUCAAAUGUUUCAAGGUUUAGUUUCAAGUGAAAGUAGAACAAUUUCCGUAAAGCUGCCAGUGCAGACACGACGUGAAAAUACCGAAUUUUGCGCAUGUUAGCUUAGGACUUAUGAGUUAUCAAAACCACGUUCCGUAAAAUGCCCAGCGGUUUUCACACAGAAGUCGGAUAUUAUUUCCAGAGCUGGUUGAGCAGAGGACACGUGAUUUAAGACAGCUUGACAUCAUGCUGCUGUACCUGCGUUCAUGGCUGUCUGGGGCAUCCUGGAGCAUCGGCUGCAUCUCCUCCUGGGGUGAGGGGGUGAGAGUGGCUGUGGACUGGUGACUGUAAGACACGGCAGCAGGGGAAGAAGCUGCCCCACGGAUGGGAGGAGUGGGCCCCCUCUCCAUCUCUUCUUCCUCCUCCAGCUCAUCAGGCUGCAGCACUGCUGACACCUUCUCCACCUCUCUGAUAUGCCACUGAAAGAGAGAAAAUGAGUUUCUGUCAUGAUUCCACCGUCGUUAUGAUUGUCGUGAUGUCCUUAUUUUCACCACAGUCAUGUCACCAUCAUCUUUCCUCCAGCGGACAGUGGGAACUGGAUCGCCACGGGCCUCACACCUGAACUCUACGCUUUGGUCCACUAACACCACCUGACUACUCGGGCGACG